Molecule: long non-coding RNA, 705 nt
Filed under: Salmo trutta (river trout)
Lineage: Eukaryota; Metazoa; Chordata; Actinopteri; Salmoniformes; Salmonidae
Description: lncRNA (ENSSTUG00000013065.1)
Source: RNAcentral
GGCCUAUAAUCUCUCUCUCGUUCUCUCCCCCCUCCCUCGUUUCCUAGAUUUUGCGGUGGGCACUCCGUUCCAUGCAACAGGCAGGGUGUUCAUCUGGACAGGCAGCUACUAACCUUAGCCAGAAGGGUAUUACAUGUAAAACUGACCCCAGAUCAGCAUCUACAGGUAACUUCAUUCUAUGGUGAGGAGAGCUGGAGAGCUGAACAGAUGAGUGAUUUCUGUUACAACAUCUGGUUGUUGCAUUGAGCUCCCUCUUCUCUGGUGAUUGAGGGGGAGGAUAUAGCUGGAGGUGGGUUCAAGACGUUUGGCUACUCCCAUCAACGGGGGGGCUGGAUGUGGAUGAGAACCGCUACCCCGACAUGGUGGUCGGCUCACUGGACGACCGCGUAGCCUUACUGAGGUCACAAGGAUCUGUUGUUGCAUUUACAUGGCCCGCCCAGUCAUUCACCUCAUCACAACUCUUGAAGUGACGCCAGAGAUCGUGGACCCAAAAGACUGCGAUAACUGUGUGGAGGUGGUCUGUUUCUCCUACACACUGAGCACUGGGGACAAGGACUUCAGGAAGAACGUCAGUGAGUGUGGUUCUGUUACAAUAUUGUUAUUAGAUGACCACUGCUCUAACACUAACACUGCUAUUUUAGAGUAGAACAGUCAUUCAAGUGAUCUUAUGACAAGAUUGCCAACAUGUAUGAAUGUCAUUUCCUA